GUGGGGAAUAUUGGACAAUGGGGGGAACCCUGAUCCAGCCAUGCCGCGUGUGUGAAGAAGGCCUUUUGGUUGUAAAGCACUUUAAGCGAGGAGGAGGCUACCGAGAUUAAUACUCUUGGAUAGUGGACGUUACUCGCAGAAUAAGCACCGGCUAACUCUGUGCCAGCAGCCGCGGUAAUACAGAGGGUGCAAGCGUUAAUCGGAUUUACUGGGCGUAAAGCGCGCGUAGGUGGCCAAUUAAGUCAAAUGUGAAAUCCCAGAGCUUAACUUGGGAAUUGCAUUCGAUACUGGUUGGCUAGAGUAUGGGAGAGGAUGGUAGAAUUCCAGGUGUAGCGGUGAAAUGCGUAGAGAUCUGGAGGAAUACCGAUGGCGAAGGCAGCCAUCUGGCCUAAUACUGACACUGAGGUGCGAAAGCAUGGGGAGCAAACAGGAUUAGAAACCCUUGUAGUCC
RNAcentral lists this ribosomal RNA (451 nucleotides) under uncultured bacterium. RNAcentral's name for it is "partial 16S ribosomal RNA". It matches the Rfam family "Bacterial small subunit ribosomal RNA", at positions 354 to 796 of the family's 1533-position model. The record is from RNAcentral.